AUUGAACGCUGGCGGCAGGCCUAACACAUGCAAGUCGAACGGUAACAGGAAGAAGCUUGCUUCUUUGCUGACGAGUGGCGGACGGGUGAGUAAUGUCUGGGAAACUGCCUGAUGGAGGGGGAUAACUACUGGAAACGGUAGCUAAUACCGCAUAACGUCGCAAGACCAAAGAGGGGGACCUUCGGGCCUCUUGCCAUCGGAUGUGCCCAGAUGGGAUUAGCUAGUAGGUGGGGUAACGGCUCACCUAGGCGACGAUCCCUAGCCGGUCUGAGAGGAUGACCAGCCACACUGGAACUGAGACACGGACCAGGCUCCUACGGGAGGCAGCAGUGGGGAAUAUUGCACAAUGGGCGCAAGCCUGAUGCAGCCGUGCCGCGUGUAUGAAGAAGGCCUUCGGGUUGUAAAGUACUUUCAGCGGGGAGGAAGGGAGUAAAGUUAAUACCUUUGCUCAUUGACGUUACCCGCAGAAGAAGCACCGGCUAACUCCGUG
This 490-nucleotide ribosomal RNA is filed under the name uncultured bacterium. RNAcentral describes it as "partial 16S ribosomal RNA". It matches the Rfam family "Bacterial small subunit ribosomal RNA", at positions 30 to 507 of the family's 1533-position model. The record is from RNAcentral.